Molecule: RNA transcript, 3286 nt
Organism: Haliotis rufescens (red abalone)
Lineage: Eukaryota; Metazoa; Mollusca; Gastropoda; Lepetellida; Haliotidae
Exons: 6
Source: RefSeq, a predicted model, not a curated record
GCCCUGUGAUGCUGGUAGAGGUGGCUUUUAUUUCUGAUUGAGCUUGCCUUCGUUGACGCUCAGUUCCCGUGUUUUCAGACAGGGAACCACGGCUGUACUCACAGCGGAUACUGAAUUCCAUCUCAAGUUUAACAGCCCGAUAAUACCAUGACGUCUCGGGCGCUUUUACGCCCUGUAUAUAAUGAUCCGGGAGGGUAGGUUUAAAGGGGAUAAACUACUCCGAGAAAGAAUGCACCCUGCUGGUCUUGUGAUAAUAUGCUUUUAGUCAUUGUCGACCAAAGGCGAGAUUUGAGGAUCCGAAACGGCGAACUGAGUGAGAAGAGAGAUGUUAAUAAAAAGAUGAUGAGGUGACAUCAGCAUCGAGACAGACAUAGCAUUUAAACUGAUUGGAAUGACAUCUAACUGUAAAACAUCAAUAAACCUCUUCAGCAAUGCUGUUCUGCUCGCCGCCGUUUCUUUCCCGUGGGUCUGAUAUAAGGACUUGGGUUUCACGCCCUUUUAGAGUAAUUUACUUUGUCUCCAGUAUGCAUAAAUAUAUUCUCUUCUACCACUCGACACGAAUUUUGGAUUCAGUAUAUCUAAAUGCUAUUUAUUAAAGUUUAUUGACAAUAUAUGAUCUGGAUUUUAGGAAAUGGGUCCAGUGUGCAAUUUUUAUAUGGGUAUUGUUUUUUUCGUUCAGUGUUAAAUUCCUGUCCACUCCAUGUCCUCGCUGUGGCGCUGUUAUUAAAGGCCUUUUACGUGCGCUGUCAGCAAGUCUCAGACAUACAAACUUGUGGCUUUUCUUUUGAACGGAUCGAUAUGUUUCUUUGCUUCGGUCCAUUUUGAUAUUUGUAUUUGUGGCUGUCCAAGUUUAUAUAGGUGCAUAGGUAUUAUUAUAAAAGAACUGCAUUAGUCCAGUUUUAGCUCACCCUCUGUGUCAUCAAGGUAAAUGUAGUAUAUAUUUCAAACCACAUGAAUCAGCUGUAAAGGGUGGCCUCGUUCCCUCCCUGCUUCAAAUUCAUCGCUAAUUUAGUUUAAAACACCACCUUCGCCUACGAAAUGUAACGGUUUUGUUUCAUGCAUAUUUCAAUCCGCUCUAAGCGUUGGAAAAAACAAUAUGUUAUUUUGUUAAGGAGAUAUGUUUUUUGCGGUGUUGUGUAUGAUGUAUGAAGUAGACAGUAUUUACCUCCCCUUGACGCCAACCUCGCGUACAUGUAUACAUCAAACGGCACGAAGCUUGCUGCAAGUGACAGAUGACAGAUGUUUUGUUUUUCAAAUAUACUUGCAUCUUUCUGACAUCAACAUUAGAACUUGUCUUGAUGUAGUAUAUGUGCUUACAUGUUGGCUUAUGUCAUUCAUAUUCAAGCACUGUCGGUGACAAUAAACACGUAUUUUACCAUUUUAAAAAGCGCGAUGACAAAUAAAGUCACAUUUUGAAAUGAGCAUCUCAGAUGGAGAUGACAUGGCACUUGUGGGAUGAAGAUUAUAUGUACAUUAAUGCUAGUAUAUCUAUUUCAAAGAUUCAUUUUGCAUUUAUCUCUGUCAUUCUAGAUGUCGACCUUCUCUCGGUCAAUGCACUUUGAAAUAGACACGAAACAUCGUUAACUCAAAAAUCUCUACCUCGAUAUAUCGUUUAUGACGAUGUAUCGUAUAGCCAAAAGUUUUAUUAUUACAGGAUAUAUACACUCCGCUUGUCUCGGAUUUUAGCUAUAUUUAAGCCCCGGCGACCUUUCGUUCUAUAAAUGUAAUAACUUCUGUGCAUGAAUUAUGUAAGAAUCGGAGGUAGCGGGUGUGAUGUCCAACGUAUUCUUGUAAAUUAACAGAUCCUUAUACAAGUCCUCCUUUUAUCACAUGUUUAAAGAAAUUCACACGUCUCAUAAAACCCAAUGGUUUCCAGUGGACUGGACCAGCUGGUACGACGUCGAUGUGUCACGUUUUACAAGUACGAUCUGCUGCUUUGACGCUUUGGCCGUGUUCGAUCCCCAUAUGGCUUCAAUGUGUGGACAUUAUCCAUGGUUUCCUUUAAAGAUCGGCUCGACUAAUUUCGAAAGAAGUGUCUAAUCGUACUCACUCGUUCAUGUCAUUAUGGUAACAACUAUUUUAUUUUUACUAGUUUCGAUAGGUUUCCGUCGUUAUUGCUUCCAUUACUCAAUGUAUUUGUUCAAGGUUUUCUUCCAGACAGCAUCAGUUAGUCAGCUAGCGCCAAUAACAUUGUGCGUUUGAACCAUUGUUUUCUUGACGCGACCGGACAGACAUUUUAACGAACAAAUGGAAGUAAACGAUUAUGGAUAAUCAAGAGUAAUGCCAGAGCUUACACUAAACAUCUUCGAUUUUGAAUAGUUAUUCAAGUAAUCAAUUAUACGUGAUCACAAUCGGACAGGGUGACAUGUGCACGACCAUCCAUCGGAACAAUCACCAUGUGGUUGAUAAGAGAAAAUGUUGUGUAAGAAUCGAACAGACAGGUCUCUAGGAAGACAACACCCCCCGUAUCGACGUCAUAAUGGGGGAUUUCCCUUAUGGCCGGCCAUUAAUUACGUAAUUUGUAAGCUUAAUGUCCAUUGGCUGGCUUUUGAUUACGUAAGUGCCGCGAGGUGGCGCUGUCACGAUUCACGAAGCACAAGGAGACUUCUGAGGCUAAAGAGCUCACAAGGGGCACAUAACUGUGUUGAGAUAUUGGCUAAAUGUCGGAGUGUAAUUCAACGCAGUUAAUGGACUUUUACGGUUCCCUAAUUGACAUGUUCUGAUAUAUAGCUGUUGUACAUUGCAAAGGCACCAUGGCGUGACGGAAGAGGGCAGGAUUUCAGAGUUGAGGAAUUCAAGUGUCAUCUCUACGGGCGUUAGACGACAUUUUCCAUGGAAGAUCAAAGAAUUUGAGCUUCCGAGAAACGGUCGUAGGACUAGCGUCGUAAAUCAGCCCCCGACCCACAAUAGUGAGGUGACAUCAAAGGCGCGUAGAGCCACGUUCACAUUUGGGCCAGAGCAACACAGGACACCGAACCUUUAUACACGCUGCCUGGAUUUUAAAACUUGGAGAAUGUCAGAAUAAAAUCUCGGCCCAUAACGCGCAAGAGCACGAAGGAUCCCUGCUUGAUUUGGUUAAUUACAGAGAACAUAAACCAGCGCUGAUUUACUAUCGACACAGCGUAAUAAAUCUCUCGCCUUUCGACCAAGCAUACAUGGCUUGUUUACUCACAAGCUUCCGUCAAGGAUACAGAGCAUGGAGACUGGUUUCUUGAUAUCAGUGCUGAGAAAGGAUGUAUCAUGUGAGUAUGUUGCGAACAAAAGAAUAAAAUCAAUUUCACUUAAA